GAGGGUAUAGCUCAAAGUGGUAGAGCACAUGCUUAGCAUGCACGAGGUCCUGGGUUCAAUUCCCAGUACCUCCU
This 74-nucleotide transfer RNA is filed under the name Camelus bactrianus (Bactrian camel). It matches the Rfam family "tRNA". From Rfam's summary of the family: Transfer RNA (tRNA) molecules are approximately 80 nucleotides in length. Their secondary structure includes four short double-helical elements and three loops (D, anti-codon, and T loops). RNAcentral also lists the same sequence under 2 other names. Lineage: Eukaryota; Metazoa; Chordata; Mammalia; Artiodactyla; Camelidae. The record is from Rfam by way of RNAcentral.